CAGCCGCCGCGGGAAUACAGAGGGUGCGAGCGUUAAUCGGAUUUACUGGGCGUAAAGCGUGCGUAGGCGGCUAAUUGAGUCGGAUGUGAAAUCCCCGAGCUUAACUUGGGAAUUGCAUUCGAUACUGGUUAGCUAGAGUGUGGGAGAGGAUGGUAGAAUUCCAGGUGUAGCGGUGAAAUGCGUAGAGAUCUGGAGGAAUACCGAUGGCGAAGGCAGCCAUCUGGCCUAAAACUGACGCUGAGGUACGAAAGCAUGGGGAGCAAACAGGAUUAGAUACCCGAGUAGUCCCUGUCUCUUAUAC
Molecule: ribosomal RNA, 301 nt
Filed under: uncultured bacterium
Lineage: Bacteria
Description: partial 16S ribosomal RNA
Rfam family: Bacterial small subunit ribosomal RNA
Source: RNAcentral